RNAcentral lists this ribosomal RNA (493 nucleotides) under uncultured Bacteroidales bacterium. RNAcentral describes it as "bacterial SSU rRNA". It matches the Rfam family "Bacterial small subunit ribosomal RNA", at positions 66 to 548 of the family's 1533-position model. Lineage: Bacteria; Pseudomonadati; Bacteroidota; Bacteroidia; Bacteroidales. The record is from RNAcentral.
GGGGCAGCAUGGUCUUAGCUUGCUAAGGCCGAUGGCGACCGGCGCACGGGUGAGUAACACGUAUCCAACCUGCCGUCUACUCUUGGACAGCCUUCUGAAAGGAAGAUUAAUACAAGAUGGCAUCAUGAGUCCGCAUGUUCACAUGAUUAAAGGUAUUCCGGUAGACGAUGGGGAUGCGUUCCAUUAGAUAGUAGGCGGGGUAACGGCCCACCUAGUCUUCGAUGGAUAGGGGUUCUGAGAGGAAGGUCCCCCACAUUGGAACUGAGACACGGUCCAAACUCCUACGGGAGGCAGCAGUGAGGAAUAUUGGUCAAUGGGCGAGAGCCUGAACCAGCCAAGUAGCGUGAAGGAUGACUGCCCUAUGGGUUGUAAACUUCUUUUAUAAAGGAAUAAAGUCGGGUAUGGAUACCCGUUUGCAUGUACUUUAUGAAUAAGGAUCGGCUAACUCCGUGCCAGCAGCCGCGGUAAUACGGAGGAUCCGAGCGUUAUCCGG